GUCCACGCCGUAACGAUGAAUACUAGGUGUCGGGCCGUAUAGGCUUCGGUGCCGCCGCAAACGCAGUAAGUAUUCCACCUGGGGAGUACGUUCGCAAGAAUGAAACUCAAAGGAAUUGACGGGACCCGCACAAGCGGUGGAGCAUGUGGUUUAAUUCGAAGCAACGCGAAGACCUUACCAGGUCUUGACAUCCUUCUGACCACUCCGUAAUGGGAGUCUUCCUUCGGGACAGAAGAGACAGGUGGUGCAUGGUUGUCGU
Molecule: ribosomal RNA, 259 nt
Filed under: uncultured bacterium
Lineage: Bacteria
Description: partial 16S ribosomal RNA
Rfam family: Bacterial small subunit ribosomal RNA
Source: RNAcentral